GAGGCACUACGGUGCUGAAGUAACAAAUGCCCUGCUUCCAGGAAAAGCCUCUAAGCAUCAGGUAACAUCAAAUCGUACCCCAAACCGACACAGGUGGUCAGGUAGAGAAUACCAAGGCGCUUGAGAGAACUCGGGUGAAGGAACUAGGCAAAAUGGUGCCGUAACUUCGGGAGAAGGCACGCUGAUAUGUAGGUGAAGCCCCUGCGGGUGGAGCUGAAAUCAGUCGAAGAUACCAGCUGGCUGCAACUGUUUAUUAAAAACACAGCACUGUGCAAACACGAAAGUGGACGUAUACGGUGUGACGCCUGCCCGGUGCCGGAAGGUUAAUUGAUGGGGUUAGCGGCAACGCGAAGCUCUUGAUCGAAGCCCCGGUAAACGGCGGCCGUAACUAUAACGGUCCUAAGGUAGCGAAAUUCCUUGUCGGGUAAGUUCCGACCUGCACGAAUGGCGUAAUGAUGGCCAGGCUGUCUCCACCCGAGACUCAGUGAAAUUGAACUCGCUGUGAAGAUGCAGUGUACCCGCGGCAAGACGGAAAGACCCCGUGAACCUUUACUAUAGCUUGACACUGAACACUGGUCCUUGAUGUGUAGGAUAGGUGGGAGGCUUUGAAGCGUGGACGCCAGUCUGCGUGGAGCCGACCUUGAAAUACCACCCUUUAAUGGCUGGUGUUCUAACGUAGACCCGUGAUCCGGGUUGCGGACAGUGUCUGGUGGGUAGUUUGACUGGGGCGGUCUCCUCCCAAAGAGUAACGGAGGAGCACGAAGGUUAGCUAAUCCUGGUCGGACAUCAGGAGGUUAGUGCAAUGGCAUAAGCUAGCUUGACUGCGAGAGUGACGGCUCGAGCAGGUGCGAAAGCAGGUCAUAGUGAUCCGGUGGUUCUGAAUGGAAGGGCCAUCGCUCAACGGAUAAAAGGUACUCCGGGGAUAACAGGCUGAUACCGCCCAAGAGUUCAUAUCGACGGCGGUGUUUGGCACCUCGAUGUCGGCUCAUCACAUCCUGGGGCUGAAGUAGGUCCCAAGGGUAUGGCUGUUCGCCAUUUAAAGUGGUACGCGAGCUGGGUUUAGAACGUCGUGAGACAGUUCGGUCCCUAUCUGCCGUGGGCGCUGGAGAAUUGAGGGGGGCUGCUCCUAGUACGAGAGGACCGGAGUGGACGCAUCACUGGUGUUCGGGUUGUCAUGCCAAUGGCACUGCCCGGUAGCUAAAUGCGGAAAAGAUAAGUGCUGAAAGCAUCUAAGCACGAAACUUGCC
This 1247-nucleotide ribosomal RNA is filed under the name Enterobacter asburiae. RNAcentral's name for it is "partial 23S ribosomal RNA". It matches the Rfam family "Bacterial large subunit ribosomal RNA", at positions 1570 to 2798 of the family's 2925-position model. Lineage: Bacteria; Pseudomonadati; Pseudomonadota; Gammaproteobacteria; Enterobacterales; Enterobacteriaceae. The record is from RNAcentral.